Molecule: ribosomal RNA, 253 nt
Filed under: uncultured bacterium
Lineage: Bacteria
Description: partial 16S ribosomal RNA
Rfam family: Bacterial small subunit ribosomal RNA
Source: RNAcentral
GACGUAGGGCGCGAGCGUUGUCCGGAUUUAUUGGGCGUAAAGAGCUCGUAGGCGGUUUGUCGCGUCUGCCGUGAAAGUCCGGGGCUCAACUCCGGAUCUGCGGUGGGUACGGGCAGACUAGAGUGAUGUAGGGGAGACUGGAAUUCUUGGUGUAGCGGUGAAAUGCGCAGAUAUCAGGAGGAACACCGAUGGCGAAGGCAGGUCUCUGGGCAUUAACUGACGCUGAGGAGCGAAAGCAUGGGGAGCGAACAGG